UUUACAAUAUAUCACUUUACUAUACGCUCAUUGGUGUGGAUUCGUUGUCUGCUUGCUCAAAAGAACCAGAACCCUAGUAAGUGGGUUGAGGUAUAUUGAUAUUAUUAUUAAUGAUAUAAUAUACAUAGAAACUUACAAUCCGAACUGAAAAAGCAUUUCCGUGAAAAGUCACAGAAAAGUUGUGAUAUCUGCAACAUUUUUGUGUUGUCAUAGAAUAACUACAACUUGAAAACCUCUAAAACCACAAAUCAAAGAAAGAUCUUUUGCCUAUAUAAGUGAUAUCUGUGCCAGGCUCUGCUGGGAUUUGAGCAAGGAACCUUUGGGAUUCUGGCUCGGUGUCUUAAGCAUUGGGCCAGGUGAGCAACAAGGUCUAUUACCCGACCUUUGCAGCCCUAACCCAGCAGCAGCCUGAUUGGUGGUUUGGGGUCAGCCCUAUAUAAAGCCAGCCCACUUCACCCUCCUUGUCUGAGCAUUACCUAUACUAGCACUUACUUUGCCUUGUCCUUACCUAACCUUGACCUGAACUUACCUUGCCUUGCCUGUUCCUGCUUCCAGUCCUGUUCUGCCGUGUACCUUGUCUUAUAUUUUCCCUUGUCUUGCUCUAUAUCUUGCUCUGCCUUUUCCUCCCCAGUCUCCAGUCUAAUCUAUUCUACACCCACUCCAUCCUGUUCUGUCCUGUCUUUUCUGAUCUAGCCUGUCCUGAUCUAUGCUCGCUCCUUCCUUUCCCGAUCUACGACAGCACCGUCCUGUCCUAUCCAGUCUGCUCGCUCCAUCAUGCUCCUACACAGUCUGCUCCUGUCCUGCCACUUUGUCUUCCUAUCCAGUCUGACUCGUUGCUCUCUUCACCUGGUCCAGUCUGAUUCUUCACCCUGUUCCUGCCUUUCCCUGUCCGUGUCCUGUGGGCACAGCUAGUUCUUGCCUAAGGACUCACCUUCCUCAUUUGCCUCUGCAGCGGCCCAUACCUAAUCCUUGACAGACAUUGACUUCUAUAAGUUUUAGCUGAAAUAUUUUUGUAUUCUGAAUUGUUAUAGUUUUGUCUCAUAAUAAGUUCUGAAAAAGUUGCACUUUUUUUCUUCGACUUGUUUCGGAUUUUCAAUGUCAAAAAGCCUGAUCUGAAAAAGUUACAGCUUAAUAAAUCAGAUUACUGUCUUGUUCACGUCAUGAAUGGCAAGUAUAAAAUGCUGUAGUGUAAGAAUGUCAUUAGUGGAUGACUUACUGAUGUCAAUUCCAUUUUGUGCACAGCCGGUCAACUUUAUUGUCAAAUAGGUUUAUGCCCUAACAGUAAAUGUGGAUGACAAAGAAAUUGAAAAAUAUUAUGAUCAGACAGAAAUCGUAAACAGCUUUUGCCUACUUUAAUUGGUUAUUAAAACCAAAGCAUCCACCAGCAAAGAAAUGUGGCGCAAAGUGGUACUUGGUUAAACAAGGAUGAAAGACCUAGAUAAAAUCUUCAAAUGUAAUCAUGUCUCUAUGAAAACUUAGAUUAGAAUUGAUCAGGAAGUGGUAUUUUCAGAGACUCUUUAUGGAUAUGAAAUGUGGAAAAUGAAGAAGCAAGAUGGGAAAACGAUUGAUGCCUUUGAACUUUGGAGUUGAAGAAGAUUUUUGAAAAUACAGAGGACAAUAAGUAAAAUAAGCAAAUUAAUCUUUUGCUAAAUCAAACUUGACCUUUCACUUGAAGUAUAAAAAAAGACUAGUAUUCUAUUGUAGAGGUAUAUUGGAGAUUGCAGAUACUAGAGGUAUUUUGAACAACAAUCAGUUCAAAGAUAAAACAUAUCUCCUAACUAAAUUCCAUAUUUCUCUUGUAGGCUUCAGUUGAGUUUUUGUGAGAAACCCAUGAUUUUUUUUCCCAUCAAACAGGACAAUCAUGAACAUGCAAAGCACAAAUAUCCAAAGAAAUGGCAGGAGGUGGACAAGAAGCAAAGUCAACUUGAAGGCACUUGAAAAUUAUUAUUAUUAAUAAUAAUAAUAAUCUUCAAUACAUGAUAUCUUCAAUUUCCUUUACUAAUUAGUGGAUCUUCUCUGGACUUUUUUUUAUAUCAGAAUUAUUCUGCACGAGACUGUACUGUACACUCUAUAGCGGAUCUUACCAGUGGAAGAAUUUCCCUCACCUCCUAUGAACAUGUACUUCUACUGCAUUUAUGAUCAGAUCUUUCUAAAAUUAUGUCCAUUAAAAUGCUAUACAUAAAAGGGUUAAUUUGCAAAGCCCCUGUGAGCAAAUGCAAGAGCACUAAAGGACACAAAAGCAUGUCCCUUAGUGCUAAUUCUAAGUGCAUCUGCCUCCAGGGGUAUGCUGCUCAAAAAUCAGGCACUCCCUGCAAAGAGCAGCAUCAGAAGGCGCAAUCUAGCCCUUAUUUGCCAAGGACAUAGGGAAAAAACUUGGUGGGCCCCAACCCUUGUGGUCCCCUCCAGCCCAGAGCCGGUCCUUGCGUUGAAGCGGGAAGCAGCUUCCGACCUCACUCCCCAGCCCCUUAGCUGAAAGAAAAACAAUGAAGACCCGGGGGGGUUGCGGCUCAGGGAGGGGGGCCAUAGAGCUCUAUGUGUCUGGCCUGUCUGUACCUUGCAGGCCUGAAACAGAGCACAGAGACAAUGCAAAGUGCAAAAAAAAUAGUUGAUUGUGGCCAAAUGUGUUUAGGUAUAGGUAUACUAGUGCCAGCACCAAUUUGUCACUUGCAACGACUUUGUGUAAGUGGCCCAAAGCAGGUCCGGACUGAGAAUUAAAAUAGGCCCUGACAUUUCAGGUACACAGAGGCCCAAAAAGCCACCACCAGCCCACUAUAUACUAACUUUAUAUGGCACCUUAUAGCAGCCCCUCUGGCAUUCGCCAGAACCCAUAGAUUGCCAGUCCGGGCCUGGCCCAAAGGCUCCGUUAGGAUUAGCGGACCAAGAAGGAAACGCCAGUCCAACACAGUUCAAGGUAUCCAAGAAGGGUGAGGAAGAAGAAUAGUCAAGUCCAGGCAAAUGGGUUAAUGCAGGCAGAAAAGGUUCAAAGACUAAUAAACAGGCCGAGGUCAAACACAGGUAUCAGUGAUAAUAAAGUGUAAAGUGCACAAAGGAACUCACGAGGUAGAACCUAUAUUAGGGCAAUGUCUGUAAUGUUCUGGUGUCUUAAAUAGGCCUCUUUUGGCGCCAAACGGAUGUGAUGACGUCACGACUCUGCAUCCAUGAUGACUCUGGCAUCACGACACUGCGUCCAUUCUGAUGCUGACUUCAGGAUGCUGCAUCUGUUCUGACGCACUGCAUCAGAAUGUGCCAUGUGGGAUCUCUGGGCACCGCCAUCUUGGGGAAGCAGGAAGGAGCAGCCGUAACAAAUCCGGGUCAUUCAGCAGAGUGUUCUAACUCAUAGCCUGCUGUACACAACAAACCAGAAGUGCAAUCGCAUUGCUCCAGGCUGCUCACACCCCCAUACCAGGACUGCAGCAUUUCAUUUGAAGUCCAAACUCCAGUCAUUGCACUUAUCAACAAAGACCAUAAAAGAAAGAACACGUUCAACAAGUAACGAUUUAUUACAGCUAUAUUAAUUUAAAAGCGGAUGGAAAUGGAUUCUAUUUUAGAUCACAUCAUGAAAGAACAUAUUAAAGGGGUAGUUCACCUUUAAGUUAACUUUUAGCAUGUUAUAAAAUGGCUAUUCUAAGCAGCUUUUCAAUUUGCCUUCAUUUUUUCUUUUUAUAGUUUCUGAAUUAUUAGCUAUCUUCCUUUGACCCUCUGCAGCUUUCAAAUACUGACCCCAUCUAAAAAUCAAAUGCUCUGUAAGGUUACAAAUGCAAUGUUAUUGUUACUUUAUAUUACUCCUCUUUCCAUUAAUGCCAUCUUAUAUUCACAUUCCAGUGUUUUAUUCAAAUCAGUGCAUGGUUACUAGGGUAAUUUGGACCCUAGCAACCAGCUUGCUGAAAUUGCAAACUGGAGAGCUGCUGAAUAAAACGCUUAAUAACUCAAAAACCAUGAAUAAUAAAACAUGAAAACAAAUUUGAUCAUAAAUGAAAAAAAGCUUACAAUAAUCAAGAUUUGGUUUUUUCAGGAUAUCCAUUUUUUUUAUUUUUGUUUUUAUUCCAUUUGAAAAGCCAUCCCUGAUUUACGUUUUUUACUUUAUUCCUCAUUUAAAUGGAUAUCCAGCCUCUUACUUGAGCAAUUACAUACAAAUGUUAGUCUCCAAAACAGUUUUAGUACAGAGGUGUUUUACAUUGUGAAAUAAAGCACUUUUGGCUUUACUGCCUUUUAUCUCUGGGAGAACAUAUAUCAGUUCUUUUUUCAUGCACUAAUGUGAUAGCAGAAUAGAAGGCUGGCCUGGGGUUGUAAGAAUAUCUGAACAUGACUCUCAUGUAUAUUAAUCGAGGUUUAAACAUGAAUAUAACACAGUUUUUAUGGACUCUGCGGUGCAGGAGAAUGUGAUCAUUUGACUUUGCUUAAAGUCAAUGAGCAAAAUAAAAGUUGCAAAUAAGAAUGAGUGCAGUUUAUUGUCAGUGGAGACAAUUUUGUAGGGUGAGCCAAAGUGUAUGCAGUUAAGUUGAAUGAUAGAGAACGGCAAGAGAGAAUAGAGAAAGGGAAAAAGCAAGAAUGAUACACAUGAUAUGAAAGUUAAAAUAAAACAAAUUAUUAUUUUGUAUGUUAUACAUUGAAA
This is a long non-coding RNA of Xenopus laevis (African clawed frog), 4612 nucleotides long. RefSeq lists it as uncharacterized. The transcript is spliced from 2 exons. NCBI's taxonomy places the organism in Eukaryota, Metazoa, Chordata, Amphibia, Anura, Pipidae. The record is from RefSeq and is a predicted model, not a curated record.